GAUGAACGCUGGCGGCGUGCCUAAUACAUGCAAGUCGAGCGAACGGACGAGAAGCUUGCUUCUCUGAUGUUAGCGGCGGACGGGUGAGUAACACGUGGAUAACCUACCUAUAAGACUGGGAUAACUUCGGGAAACCGGAGCUAAUACCGGAUGAUAUUUUGAACCGCAUGGUUCAAAAGUGAAAGACGGUCUUGCUGUCACUUAUAGAUGGAUCCGCGCUGCAUUAGCUAGUUGGUAAGGUAAUGGCUUACCAAGGCAACGAUGCAUAGCCGACCUGAGAGGCUGAUCGGCCACACUGGAACUGAGACACGGUCCAGACUCCUACGGGAGGCAGCAGUAGGGAAUCUUCCGCAAUGGGCGAAAGCCUGACGGAGCAACGCCGCGUGAGUGAUGAAGGUCUUCGGAUCGUAAAACUCUGUUAUUAGGGAAGAACAUAUGUGUAAGUAACUGUGCACAUCUUGACGGUACCUAAUCAGAAAGCCACGGCUAACUACGUG
This 497-nucleotide ribosomal RNA is filed under the name uncultured bacterium. Its description in RNAcentral is "partial 16S ribosomal RNA". It matches the Rfam family "Bacterial small subunit ribosomal RNA", at positions 28 to 507 of the family's 1533-position model. The record is from RNAcentral.